Fukomys damarensis (Damara mole-rat) is the source of this 2338-nucleotide long non-coding RNA. NCBI's taxonomy places the organism in Eukaryota, Metazoa, Chordata, Mammalia, Rodentia, Bathyergidae. The record is from Ensembl.
CUCUGCUGGGCACAGGCAGCUGCAGUGAUUGUUCUGCUGCGGCUUCUGGGGGGAGCCUGAGGCUCCCUGCAAUCCAGGCCUUUCCUUGCUAACUGUGUCCUAUCAGAGAGGACUUUCCCGGGCAGGAGGCUGUCGGCGAGACUGCUGGAACAAGGCUGAGGGUAACGAUUGCUAAUAGAACAGGAGCUAGUGUUUAUGGGGAGGACUCACCUCACGCUUAACAUUGUAGAAAGCACACGGAUUUUUCAUUUCAUCCGAACAGCGUGCCUAUGAGGUCAGUGCUGGCUUUUUGUUUGUUUUCAUUUGCUUGAUUUGUCUUCAUUGCACCAAAGAAGCACUCAGAAAGGCCAAGUAUCUUGUCCACGGCCAGGGAGCUGAAUGAACACCCAGUGGUCUCAUUCCAGAGCCCACAGGUGUGGAAAAGUGAAUUCUAGAAGUUCACUCACGUAGUUUCAGGUCUCACUUGACAUACCUUACUAGCUAAAAACACGUAUCUCUGGUGUUUGGAAGGUGCUUAAGCCCCAGCAACUCAUGGGCAUUAAUUUUCUCACAAAAAAUGGGAAGAGCAGCAAGUCCUGCCACUGAGGUCAUGGGAGCUGCGGCACCUCAGUGUCCACCAUAGAAUCAGCCCCCUAAGAAGCAAAUAACAGUGUCCGUGCCACACCCGGGCUCAGGGUUGGUCCAAGAGGAGUCACAGCCGGCCUCUGUGCCCAGUCUUCUCAGCCACCCUGCCCCACAGUUCCCUCAUCGGCAGAAUGGGACAAUAACGAAUGCACAGCGUCGCACCUCACAGAGUGGGGUGUGAGGAACAGGGGUACCCACACGGUUUGUGCCUUCCGAGGCCCCCCAGAAACGCUACUUGCCACCUUUGGAAGCCGGCAGGCAGCUCCUCUUUGAGCACAGCCUCCCGCACACCGCGGGUCCUCACAAGCAGCGGAGGAAACAGAAACCUGACCUUCAAAGCUCUGAUGUGGUUCAGGAGGAAGAUGGGACCAACAAAAACAAGGAAGCCUUUCUCUGAAGUCACCACUAGAAUUCCAGAUCACGUGUCCACCCUGAGACCCAUCACCACCCAGGGGACUGGAAACACUGUGAUCAGCUCAGACCUCCUCUUGGAAGAGCUCCAAAGUCUCCAUGCCCAACGAGCUUCUCCAAAAGGGCAGUGGUCAGCUUGGAGUGAACCUGGCACCUGGGUGUUCUGUCUCUGAUCCUCUCAUCCAAGAGAAGGCCAACACCUCGUCAGUCCACUGGGGAUUUAAAAACUAAACUAUAGCAUUUGGGGGCCAAAUGGUUUCCAGAUUACAGCCCAAGGAAAAAUGAGAUAAGCUGUAAUUAUAGCCUUAUGUUAAGUCUGAUAAUCAAAUAUAUCAACAGGAUGCUUGUAAGAAAAGCACGGCUCAGCUAGUGAUGACAUCAUGCCUGUCCUUUACCGCCCACCUCUCACCUCCAGGCUUCCCCUUCUGCUCUGCAAUGAUGGCCUUACACUCUGCAAGCCACAUUUCUGUCUCAUGCAUCAGCUGGCUUCCUGAAACUUUUCCAGUAGAGGCACCAACACAGGCAGGAAAAGAGGACAUCCUUUCUGUCCUUCAGUUCUGGGAGUGUCUCUCCAGGUGGAACACAUGGUGCCUCCUCUUCGCGGCUCCCUUCAGCACCCACGGCCCUGCAGAGACUUUAGAGAACAUCGGUGUAGGUCCCUCGGGAAGGGAGGACCCUCUGCAUAAAGUCCCCAUUUCCUGCGCCAUGCACUCUAGGGAGCUGGAGCAACUCUAGGCCACCACCUCAGGGUGUGAGCACCCUUGUGCUCUCCAGUGUUCUCAACACAAGCUCUGCUGCUUCCCCCUAGGGCUUCCUCCCAGGUCUUGAGUUCUGGUCAUCACUGCUCCCCGUUUUCUUGCAGCCCUAGGAGUGGCCAGUCUCGGAGUUACUUCGGCCUCCACACAUUGUGACUGUCCACUGUGGUCAUGGUGAGGGCAUGGUCUGGGUGUGUCCCCCAGAGGCUCCUGUGUUGGAAGCUUGGUCCCUGGUGUGGUGAAGUUUGGACCUUUGGGGGAGGUACUGAGUGGGGGGUUAUAAGUUCACUGGGGGCCCUGCCCUCAGAAGGGAUUGAGGUAGUCUCUUGGGACCCUGGUACAGAUCUGGUAAGAGGGCUGUUACAAAAGAGCAAGAUUUACUUCCUGUCUUGCCAUGCCAUCUCUCCCUCUCACACACACUCUACUGCAAUGCCAUCUGCCAUGAUAAAAUGCAGCCAAGGACCCCUUACUGGAACCAUAGGCAUGUUAUUUUGGUUUUCAACCUCCCAAACUGUGAGCUGUAUAAGCCUCUUCUCUUUGAAAUGAAC